Corapipo altera (White-ruffed manakin) is the source of this 7233-nucleotide long non-coding RNA. RefSeq lists it as uncharacterized. The transcript is spliced from 3 exons. The record is from RefSeq and is a predicted model, not a curated record. NCBI's taxonomy places the organism in Eukaryota, Metazoa, Chordata, Aves, Passeriformes, Pipridae.
GCGGAGGGGAGGCUGGAAGGCCGCAGUCGGGGUCGCGUCGCUUUAUACAAAGUGCCGUUUGGCUCCACGCGGUGCCGCCGCCCCCGCGAGAGCUCGCGUGGGGCCUUUAAGCACCGCCCGCUGGUGCCGGGGCGGGUAGUGGAUGUGGCCACGGGCGGACCCGCGGCAGCACAAUGAGCCUUGUUUCGCCGCCAGGGCCGCCGCUUUAAGAGCCCUGGCCAGGAAAUGCGGCGCGGGGCACGGCGGGGCACGGGAAGUUCGCGGGGGCGCCGCCACCCCGUUUCCCCAGCCCUGCGCUCGGCCCGGCCCGGCCCCGGUGCGCUGCCCGCGUUCAGACCCCGGCGCGGUCGCACCGGCUCAGGGUUUCGGGGAGGUGGUGUAUCACCCGCCGCGUGUGGGACACGUAGCAGCGUGUGUGAUUUCCAGCCGUGUCGGUGUUAACGCUGUUAACACCCUCUGACAGUACAGCCCCGGCCCUCGUGACGAGAGUGAAAAGGGUGGAGGGAAAGGUGAAAAAUACCUCGGCCUUAUCUUCUUCUAAAUCUCUCUGUGAUUUUACAGGCAGUUUUUGGUGUCCUGGCUGGUUUUUGGAUGUACCCACUGUAUUGCAAGUCCCGAACGUGCUUGGGAGCAGAUGACUGCUUUGUACCCAUUGCACUGCGAGGCAGAACUGCCUUGGGAAUCUGCUGUAAGGAUGCUGUGCAUUGGGAUAGAACAGGCUCCUAUUAAGUGAUUUGGCGCUACUGAAAAUAGCGAACGAGAGGGAAUCCAGCCUCUGUAGUUCAGAGCAAACUUUAGCUCGCAUUACAAGACACCUGCUUAAGCGUGGCAUGCUGGCAUCAAAUGCAGUGUUGCUUCACCUGCGUGGCCAAGAGGAGAGACUGCUGAGGCCUCCCAGUAGGCACCCCUUAGUCCAUUUUGCAAACCAGGACCAACUCCUUGUAGCCUCUUACACCUUCAUUUUGGCCAGUCCCUGAAAAUGAGGAAGAGGGAGCAACCAGUGACCCUUUUUUAACAUAGGACCAACUCAGUAAUGAAGGAUUCAUAUUUGCAUGUCUUCCCUCAGUGUGGCUGAACGGCUGGAGAAGAGCUGUUGCUAUUGAGAAUCAUAGAAUCAUCAAGGUUGGAAGAGACUUCUGAGAUCAUCCAGUCCUAUAAUCAACCUAGCACUACUGGGUUAGAGUAAAUCACAUCACCCAGUGCCAGAUUGAGACACCUUUGAACACCUUCAGGAAUUGUGACUCCACCUCUUCCUGAGCAGUCCCGAUGGCUGACCGCCUUAACAGUGAAAAAACUUUUCCUGUUACCCAAUCUGAAUCUCCCCUGUCUCAGUUUAAGGCCAUUUCCUCUAGUCCUCUCAUUGUAGGUAUGGUAGAGGAGAGUGGCCCCCACCUCACUACAGCCUCCCUUGAUGUUGUAGAGAGCAAUGAGGAGGUCCUCUGGAGCCUCCCCUUCCCAAGACUACAAACACAGCUCCCUCAGCCAUUCCUCAUAAGACAUGUUUUCUACGCCCUUCUAGGCCCUUCUCUGAACAUGCUUUAGCACCUCAAUGUCCUUUUUAAAGUGAGGGGCCCAAAACUCAAGGUGCAACCUCACCAAUGCCAAGUACAGGGGUACAAUACAAUGUCUGUCUUUCUCCCCUCUUAUCCUUUCUGCUUCAUCACCAUGACAUUUUGCCUUUUUACUUGCACGAUUACCACUACGAAGGGCUGAGUUACUAUUCUCUGUCUCAUGGCAAGUUGGGAGUUUUUGUGAUUCCUUAUGCUAAUAUAGAAAUUCAAGGCAGAAAAGUCCUGUUAGGUCAUCUACUCUGCUCCCCUGCUGAGAGAGGAUUUACAACAAGUGCAUAAUUGCUCUUUCAUUUUAAAUGCCUCAGGUGAUGGGGCUUCCAUCACUUUUGGAGUCUGCUUCACAGUCCAGAACGUCCCAUGGUCAGGAAGAUAUUUAGCUUAUAUUUUCAUUUGUUCGGUUUCAGCCAAUUACUCCUGGUUAUAAACAUGUGUUGUACUCCUCUAAACAGUUUUACUCCUCUCUGGCUGUUUGUGUCUUACACACAGGUAUGGCUAUUUUCCUAGCCGUUGCUAUUCUUUAUCUCCUUUCAUUAACCAGUCCCUGCAGCCACUUUACUAUUGGUCUUCUUUGAUCCCAUUCAAUUGCUCAUCAGUUCCUCAGCCCAUGGAUGCCCACAUUUAGGGCCUUAUCCUCUGUGAAUGCAGCCAAAACCACAUCAUAGUUUAAUUAGUCUCAAAGUUGCCUCAAAGGUUGCACAGAAUUUGUCACCUGACAUUGCUCUGAAUCUGAUCUUUUCCUGUUAUUCCCCAGUGUUCCCUCUUGCAGUGCAACUACAAUUUAUUUUUCCUUUUUCUACCUGGAGUUUCAGCAUCUGUUCCUUCCCUCUGGGGUCACUGAUAGCUGCUGUUCCUCACAAUUUGUUUAAUGGCCCUUACAAAUACAGGCCUUGAUCCCUCUCCGCAGACCUCUCAACCAGUAUGGAUGGUUGCAAGUAUCUGUUCUAGACCACAACCUGUUCUAGUGCAAUUGUCUUCCAGCUCUUUCUGUUCUUUGUGUUUUUCCACUACUCCACUAAAUGUGAAUGCAAAGGAUGAUAACUAGAAAAGGUAGGGAGAGAAAUGGUGAAUGUGUAGAGAAGGCCACAGGUAUGAGUGUGGCACCUCUGUAGCUAGAAGUCAAUCCCAUUGAAGCUGCUGCAAGAAAGCUGGGAAGGAAAUGUGACUGGGCAAAACCCAUACCACACCAUCCUGUGGUCUGUCCUUACCCACAGAAGCUAUGCCUUAACCAUGCUAGCUACAUGCUAGACAGGGACUGAAGAACAUCUUUGAACACUUGAACAAGGAGGACCAAACUCUUUGUAGUGUGUUAGCUUUUCUGCUUGGUUCUGCCCUUAUUUCUCUGGCCUUAUUUCUUCCAGUCUCUCUCAUUAAUUCCAUCUCUUGAGACCUGACAUUAUGGUCCUGGCUGCUGCUCUGUGCAGAAAAAAACCGCUGCCAAAUCUCCAGGUGUGCAGCAUACCCAUGGUUACAGGAGCGUGGUUCUGAAAAAGUAAGAGGAAAACUUUUCCAGCUCCCCUUUAGAUCUGCACAGGGCAGAAAGGAAGUCCAUUAUCUCUCGAACAGGCUCCUAGUUAGUUUCCUUCACUCUCACCUAGAAACUACUGCUUAGCUUAUCUCCAUGGAGGAACCAUUAGUUAAAGGCAGGAUUUACAAUCCAACAGAGCCACCUGUCAUCAACACCCUAUCCAGAAUUCUCCUAACUUUUUGUUCGGGGAACUUGUUACAACUUAGUGUUGCCUGUAUCAGCAACACUAAUACAGGCAAAAGGCACCAUGGCCUUGGGGCUCUCCCGGGAAGGGAGGGUGAGUGGCAUGCUGGGGGACAGCAGCAGGAUGAGAAAACCAAUAGGCUGGAGUAUGUUCCUUCUCCUCAUAGUGACCUGAAAAAUCUGGCUUUAGAUGCUUGUAUUUUCUGGUCUAAAGUUUGUCUCUGAAAACAAGGUGAACCCUGAAGUAAAAGAGGCAAACCACCCUUUCACUGGGACUUGUAAUUUUCUGUCCACAGCAGUGCAUCUCCAUACCAGCUUCCACUGAUUCUCUGCCACUUGGGCCUCUUUUACAGCCCUAGGACUCCGAGUGUCUUUCUACAUGUACUUACUCAACAACUAGGCUAGGGGUUUUUUUCAUAUGUCCAUAAAGGAUGUUGAAGCCUUUUUCCCAAAGGGUUUAGAUGCUUGGGUCCAUCUGAAAGCCAAGGUUUUCAUUCCUUCUUUGGUGUACCUAUUUUCUGGUUUCAGCAGCGUGCAGCAAUAUCUCAGAUGUUUGCAGUAAUCAUUGACUUUCAUUAAGGAGACUUUGUUCAUAGUAAUAUUUUUUCUUUUCUGUUUUUAUUUGCAAACCACUCAUUAGUUUCCAGUGCCCAGUUAUCAUUAACUCAUCCUACAGUUUCUCCGCUGUUGUCUUUUCCUUCCCUUUAUCUUUCUCUAGCACAACUUAACUGGCUCAUUUAGUGCUCACUUCUAUACUUCAUUUGUAUUACUAGUUUUAUUUUUGUCUUCCAUUGUUUGAGCAGAUACAAAUAGUCAGUUCAUAUGACUUGAUGGAUGUGUUGACAUUACUGAGCCUCAACAGAGAUGACUCUCUUCCAGACUGAGGGACAGGAUCAACUCUUCAGGAACAAAGCACACAGCUGGAGAUCUUGGAGCCCUCCACUGAGCAGGAGAGACCGUGGCUAUCUGCCCAGAUGAAGAGAGAGCAACAGAAAACAGUGGCAUCUUGCAUCACACCAUUUUCAAUGGUCAAAACUGGCAUGUCACAGGAUGUGAAAAGCAAUGAAUGUCAAAGUCAAAGGAACUUUGUACCAAGGCUGUACUUUAUCUCUGGUUCCUCUCUGGGUACCAACAGCAAAUGUGUAUCUUUGGGUGAUAUUUGUGGAAAGUAAAUAUAUUUUGUCUAUGCCGUGGCUUACCUUUGGGGGUACUGCUUCUUACACCAUUUUCUAAUGUUGAUGACACGAUGUAUUACAGUAGUAAUAAUGAAAAACAACAACUACAAUAACAAAAAUAGAACAAAAAACCCCCAACCCCAAACCAACAACAAACACGCAAAAAAACCCCCCAACUUCAUAAUCCAGUAUAGAAAAUUAAGUUCAUCAGACAAAGAUUUCCCACACUGCAACUUAUUUUCUCAGAUGAUGUGUGUUCUUUUUGAGAAGCAGAUGCUCUAUUUCAUUGAAUAUAACAGAUGAUUAUGGAAAUUACAACACCUGUUUGUAAUCAAGAUAAGGGUUUGGAUUAUUUUGCUUUAUGAUUCUAAAUCUCUCACUAGCUGAGUGGGUAAAAACAUACAUAAGGCUGAAUGACUCAUCCUUGUGCUUCACAGGUAGAUGUGUCUGCCAUCAAAACCUACUGAGAGAGCAGAGGUGAAGAGGGCAUGUCUUAGACGUCCCUCCUUGAUACACCUUCCCACAGAUGAAUCUCCAAAGAUACAGAAAGUCCUUUCUCAAACUUUCUUACAAGCUGGAAAACUUCAAAAUAUCUUUGCAAAAGAAAUAACAUUUUUGUAUGGUGUUCUUUUCCCCAGCAACUUGUGUAGUUUCUACAACAACUCUGUCUCCAAAAAUCCCAGGCUGGCUCCUAUACCAUUUAUUAAGUCCCAAACUCUUCUAGUUGCCCACCAGCCAGCAAGUCUGACCAAUGCAGAAUAGAGGAAAGGAUGGGGGAAAAAAUAUCAAAAAGUGUCACAGUUUAAAGACACCAAAUCUGUAAGGAAGGAAAGUGAGGAAAAUGACAAGUUCAGGUUUUCUCCCUGAAAACCCUUGCCACCAACUGGCUCUGUUUAAAAUGCCUUGUUUGAUGCCAAAUGCCACCUGAUUUUACAAAAAAAGAAGCUGAUUGAAAAGUUGCUUCCUAGCUUGUGUGAGACAGAACUCAAGUAAUCUAAAACUCUAGAGAUCAGUGCUGUGAAUGCUUGGUGAAUGACAAGACUUCCUGCAUUUUGGUUAAGAAAAUUCAUUUUUCUGGAUAUGUAUGUGUGCUCAAACUAAAAAAAAGAUUCACUUCAAAUGAAAAUAAAAAUCAGAAACUGACUUUUAUGAGAUUUUUCAUCUCUUAUCCCAAUCAGAAUCAAUCACAGCAUCACAGAAAUGUGGCAUGUGCUGAUGUGGCAUGAUGAAGAUAGACAGAUCCAUGUGUCUGACGAUUCUAUACAAAUAUCAUUAUUACCUGAAUGAGAUGAACCACAGUGGACGAAUUGCCUAGCUGGGACAUCGUCCUUCAAAAGGCAAUGUACAGCUGAUAAAAGAGAUAGGAACAGCUCCUCAAUCCUUUCAAAUAGGCACCUGAAUUAAAAUUAAAGCUGCCACUUCGCCCACUGCUGAUCAUAAUUUUGUCCAGUGUACCUGGAGUCAUUGGUCAACCCCAGAGUGCCAGACCAUACGACUGUCACAGUGCCACCCUUAUCUCCAGAGUCCAGAGAACACAAAAGCUUGGGGUUUAGUACCUUGCUGGGGGAAUUUGCACAUGUGAGUUCACCUCUUUGUUACAGCUUUCUCACCAAACACAGAUGAGAAUAAUGGUAAAGCAGGUGAGCAUGAAUGGAUGAAAAAGAGAACAAGGGAGCUAGAUUGUCAUGUGAAAGGGGGGAGUUUAGAUUUUUGCCUGUUGGUGCCCCUAGGAAAGUCGAGACCCAUGUGUCCGACCGGUCUGGCAGGAUUGCACAAUGAGAGCCUUCACCAACAGAUUCAUAAAAUUGGAGGGUGAUUUGAUUGCCUUUGUCAGGGGGUGCUUAGUCAACAGCAUGAAGACCCCUCAGCGGGCCCUGCCAAAGUGUUAUCUGCUGCUGGACUCACUCUAACAGUUCAUGCAACAACACCUUUUAUUAAUACAAAUUGUGGCAGGUUUGUGGUCGUCGGUGAUAGGGUGCAAAAAUAUGUUUUAAAGCAAUCUACUGGUAUAUAUAUUAAGCAAACACAAGCUGUAAUCCUAAAAGCAGUAUUUAUAAUUCUUACUAAAUACAUCCCUGUGGGGAGAGAAUAUAGGCAGUUUCAAAGUACCACAAGUUCCCCCUUUCUGCCAGGAUUUCAAUGGAGGGAGUCCAUUGAAAUGGUAGUCUUCACUUCAUUCCACUCUCCAUUCCAUCCCUCUAAGCAGAUGAUUAUCAUCGUAUGGGGAGCACAUUGACUGCAUUCUGUCCAGGCAGUAGCAGCUGCAUUUAUCACAGAAUUCUUAACCUCCUCUAAAUUUUAACCAUAUCCAUCGUCCCACACAGUGUAAGAGAAAAGGUUUAUUUUGUCACUUGAUUUACCACCCUUGGAGACACAAAGUCAGAACGCACAUAAGCCAUAAUAAAACCAGGUAACAUGAUUUGAAAGGUGAACAUGGCUCUGACAGUUGUUAGUGUUGGCUUUCCAUCAAACAAGAAGACACACUGCUUGUUAAACAAGUCUAACAGCACUAGUGUUUUCCAACAGCAUUACUUUCUGGGACCAAGUGUUGCAAUCUAUAAAGUGUCUUGCUACCCUUAUUUAGGAGAAGAGCCUUAUGAAUGUGAUAAUCUUUUAAGGUCCAAUUUUAUCAUAUAACAUGCUGCAAUUUAUGUUUCCUAUAUAUGGUUCAUAAUGAGAUUAGUGGAGUAUAAAUGUUCAUGCAAUUUAAAUAAAUAGUCUCCUGAGUGUCUGGCGUUAGAAAUAUAGUGUUCUGUAUUUACCUGCAGGCACUGAUGUU